UUAAUCCUACGGGGCGCAGCAGUGAGGAAUAUUGGUCAAUGGGCGCAAGCCUGAACCAGCCAAGUAGCGUGCAGGAAGACGGCCCUAUGGGUUGUAAACUGCUUUUAUACGAGAAUAAUUUGAUGCACGUGUGCGUUAUUGCAUGUAUCGUAUGAAUAAGGACCGGCUAAUUCCGUGCCAGCAGCCGCGGUAAUACGGAAGGUCCAGGCGUUAUCCGGAUUUAUUGGGUUUAAAGGGAGUGUAGGCGGUUUGUUAAGCGUGUUGUGAAAUUUAGAUGCUCAACAUUUAACUUGCAGCGCGAACUG
This 305-nucleotide ribosomal RNA is filed under the name uncultured bacterium. RNAcentral's name for it is "bacterial SSU rRNA". It matches the Rfam family "Bacterial small subunit ribosomal RNA", at positions 333 to 635 of the family's 1533-position model. The record is from RNAcentral.